This 367-nucleotide ribosomal RNA is filed under the name uncultured bacterium. RNAcentral describes it as "bacterial SSU rRNA". It matches the Rfam family "Bacterial small subunit ribosomal RNA", at positions 917 to 1289 of the family's 1533-position model. The record is from RNAcentral.
GGGCCCGCACAAGCGGUGGAGUAUGUGGUUUAAUUCGAUGCAACGCGAAGAACCUUACCAGGGUUUGACAUCCUGCGAAUCUCUUGGAAACAGGAGAGUGCCUUCGGGAACGCAGUGACAGGUGGUGCAUGGCUGUCGUCAGCUCGUGUCGUGAGAUGUUGGGUUAAGUCCCGCAACGAGCGCAACCCACGUCUUUAGUUGCCAGCAUUCAGUUGGGCACUCUAGAGAGACUGCCGGUGAUAAACCGGAGAAGGUGUGGAUGACGUCAAGUCAUCAUGCCCCUUACAUCUGGGCUACACACGUACUACAAUGGUAGGUACAGAGAGCAGCCAAUGCGCGAGCAUGAGCAAAUCUAUAAACCUAUCUC